UCAGACGAUGCGUCAUGCAUAUCAAUAAGCGGAGGAAAAGAAACUAACAAGGAUUCCCCUAGUAACGGCGAGUGAAGCGGGAAGAGCUCAAAUUUGAAAUCUUAAAGGGUUUCCCUUUACGAAUUGUAGUUUAAAGAAGUGUUUUCUGUUGAGGUUUUGGUAAAAGUUCUUUGGAAUAGGACAUCAUAGAGGGUGAGAAUCCCGUAUUUGACCUUUACUUUCAACUUUGUGAUACACUUUCAAAGAGUCGGAUUGUUUGGGAAUGCAGUCCAAAAUGGGUGGUAAAUUUCAUCUAAAGCUAAAUAUUGGCGAGAGACCGAUAGCGAACAAGUACCGUGAGGGAAAGAUGAAAAGAACUUUCGAAAAGAGAGUUAAACAGUACGUGAAAUUGUCAAAAGGGAAGCGUUUGACACCAGUGUUGUUUUUCUGAAAAUCAAUUAAAGAACUGUUUAUGCUAAGCUGUUUAGACUUUAUCAGCUAUCUGUUUAGUUUUGAGCUUUUCUUUAAUGCACUUUUCAGUUAACAAGUCAACAUCAAUUUCUUUUGCUGUAAAAAAGCUUGAGGAAGGUGGCUUGAGAUUCGUCUUAAGUGUUUAUAGCCUCUUGCCUAUGCAGUCGGAGAGAUUGAGGUCUGCAGCGUAGAUCCUUCGGGGCUAAAUGCAUUUGUGCUAAGUUAUAGCAUUUUAUAGACAACUUGUUGACUAUGAUUUGUCUUGUAGCUUACUCGCUUAUGUUAUUUUACCUACGCUUAGGAUGUUGACACACGCGCGUGCUCG
RNAcentral lists this ribosomal RNA (775 nucleotides) under uncultured Neocallimastigales. RNAcentral's name for it is "partial large subunit ribosomal RNA". It matches the Rfam family "Eukaryotic large subunit ribosomal RNA", at positions 18 to 643 of the family's 3401-position model. The record is from RNAcentral. Lineage: Eukaryota; Fungi; Neocallimastigomycota; Neocallimastigomycetes; Neocallimastigales.